Molecule: ribosomal RNA, 253 nt
Filed under: uncultured bacterium
Lineage: Bacteria
Description: partial 16S ribosomal RNA
Rfam family: Bacterial small subunit ribosomal RNA
Source: RNAcentral
UACGUAGGUGGCAAGCGUUGACCGGAAUUAUUGGGCGUAAAGCGCGCGCAGGCGGUUCUUUAAGUCUGAUGUGAAAGCCCCCGGCUCAACCGUGGAGGGGCAUUGGUAACUGGGGGACUUGAGUACAGAAGAGAAGAGUGGAAUUCCACGUGUAGCGGUGAAAUGCGUAGAGAUGUGGAGGAACACCAGUGGCGAAGGCGACUCUUUGGUCUGUAACUGACGCUGAGGCGCGAAAGCGUGGGGAGCAAACAGG